GACGAACGCUGGCGGCGUGCUUAACACAUGCAAGUCGAACGGAAAGGCCCUGCUUUUGUGGGGUGCUCGAGUGGCGAACGGGUGAGUAACACGUGAGUAACCUGCCCUUGACUUUGGGAUAACUUCAGGAAACUGGGGCUAAUACCGGAUAGGAGCUCCUGCUGCAUGGUGGGGGUCGGAAAGUUUCGGCGGUUGGGGAUGGACUCGCGGCUUAUCAGCUUGUUGGUGGGGUAGUGGCUUACCAAGGCUUUGACGGGUAGCCGGCCUGAGAGGGUGACCGGCCACAUUGGGACUGAGAGACGGCCCAGACUCCUACGGGAGGCAGCAGUGGGGAAUAUUGCACAAUGGGCGGAAGCCUGAUGCAGCAACGCCGCGUGCGGGAUGACGGCCUUCGGGUUGUAAACCGCUUUCGCCUGUGACGAAGCGUGAGUGACGGUAAUGGGUAAAGAAGCACCGGCUAACUACGUG
Molecule: ribosomal RNA, 468 nt
Filed under: uncultured bacterium
Lineage: Bacteria
Description: partial 16S ribosomal RNA
Rfam family: Bacterial small subunit ribosomal RNA
Source: RNAcentral